This 388-nucleotide ribosomal RNA is filed under the name uncultured Chrysophyceae. RNAcentral's name for it is "partial small subunit ribosomal RNA". It matches the Rfam family "Eukaryotic small subunit ribosomal RNA", at positions 30 to 432 of the family's 1831-position model. The record is from RNAcentral. Lineage: Eukaryota; Chrysophyceae.
GCUUGUCUCAAAGAUUAAGCCAUGCAUGUCUAAGUAUAAACUGCUUAUACUGUGAAACUGCGAAUGGCUCAUUAAAUCAGUUAUAGUUUAUUUGAUGGUACCUCUACUCGGAUAACCGUAGUAAUUCUAGAGCUAAUACAUGCAUAAAACCCUAACUUCUGGAAAGGGUGUAUUUAUUAGAUGGAAACCAAUGCGGGGUAACCCGGAAUAUGGUGAUUCAUAAUAACUUUCGGAUCGAUUUAUCGAUGCAUCAUUCAAGUUUCUGCCCUAUCAGCUUUGGAUGGUAGGGUAUUGGCCUACCAUGGCUUUAACGGGUAACGGAGAAUUAGGGUUCGAUUCCGGAGAGGGAGCCUGAGAAACGGCUACCACAUCCAAGGAAGGCAGCAGG